GUGCUUUUUAUUUUUCACUCUCUUUACACGGUAUUGUACGAGAAGUCACCUCCGUAUAAGUUGCGAUAAUUGAUGGACCCCGCACAUAUCUCUAUGCAGGAUGUGAUGUCUAUCGGACCAAGAGCCUACGAGGUACUGUACAUUGAGCCAUACCCCAUUUGAAGCUGUAUUAUUUUAAGUUGUAUUAUUAUUUUCUUCAUCCAGAAUCGGCGAAGCAUGGAAAAAGGGACUUUGAUGCCGGGGAUACUAUCAUGUCACCAUUGGAUCGAAGUCCAUUCGACAGCUCAGAAAUCAGGUUUGCAUAUGCCAGGUGUGACAACAAUACUUGUAGCUGUGCAGCGAAUAAUCAUCGUCUGGAUCCCAAAUGCUGGGUUUAGUCCAUAUUUAUUCCAAGGC
Molecule: small RNA, 396 nt
Filed under: Histoplasma capsulatum
Lineage: Eukaryota; Fungi; Ascomycota; Eurotiomycetes; Onygenales; Ajellomycetaceae
Also listed under: 1 other name
Description: hypothetical RNA
Source: RNAcentral